GUUUGCGACUGUCUUACUAUAUUUAACGAUAGAUAAUAAAUAAUCUUGAAUUUCUUAUGUAAAACGACGUGGCACUUAUUAUGUAUAAAGGAUAUUUAAUUCGCCGUUUAAAUGAAGACCAAUUCAACAAUUACAGGCUCCACUACAACACAACACAAGAUUUGCCAAAUAUGUCUGGUGAUAUUGUCAAAAUCCACUUGAUGCGUUUGAG
RNAcentral lists this long non-coding RNA (211 nucleotides) under Mytilus galloprovincialis (Mediterranean mussel). Lineage: Eukaryota; Metazoa; Mollusca; Bivalvia; Mytilida; Mytilidae. The record is from RNAcentral.